CGAACGCUGGCGGCGUGCUUAACACAUGCAAGUCGAACGGAAAGGCCCUGCUUUUGUGGGGUGCUCGAGUGGCGAACGGGUGAGUAACACGUGAGUAACCUGCCCUUGACUUUGGGAUAACUUCAGGAAACUGGGGCUAAUACCGGAUAGGAGCUCCUGCUUCAUGGUGGGGGUUGGAAAGUUUCGGCGGUUGGGGAUGGACUCGCGGCUUAUCAGCUUGUUGGUGGGGUAGUGGCUUACCAAGGCUUUGACGGGUAGCCGGCCUGAGAGGGUGGCCGGCCACAUUGGGCCUGAGAUACGGCCCAGACUCCUACGGGAGGGAGCAGUGGGGAAUAUUGCACAAUGGGCGGAAGCCUGAUGCAGCAACGCCGCGUGCGGGAUGACGGCCUUGGGGUUGUAAACCGCUUUCGCCUGUGACGAAGCGUGAGUGACGGUAAUGGGUAAAGAAGCACCGGCUAACUACGUG
RNAcentral lists this ribosomal RNA (466 nucleotides) under uncultured bacterium. Its description in RNAcentral is "partial 16S ribosomal RNA". It matches the Rfam family "Bacterial small subunit ribosomal RNA", at positions 30 to 507 of the family's 1533-position model. The record is from RNAcentral.